GUCUAUAGGGAAGGCUGUAGGUUUGUUUUUGGGUUUUGUUUUCUACUUUCAGUAGCAUCCAGAGUGAGUUACUUCCCUUCCAAGAAAAGCCAUUCAUUCACCAUCCGAUUUAGUGGCUGCAUGUGACACCACAUGGCCCCAUCUCAUUACAAAUGGAGCCAUGCUACAAUCACCUGGCUGUGUCCUUAACUGACUCGGCUCCACUCCCGCCAGGCCCUGGGCCACUCCACCAGCGUACUACAGUUUAAUUGUUUCCCCUUAAAAUACAGAUGUGGAGGAGGCCACUCAGCUUAUAGGACCCUUUAAGGUGGCCUCCCUAGGGCUGGGUGGCCUCACUGCAGCUUCUCCUGGGCUGUCUUUCUCCAGGAUGAGUGGGGCCAGACCAGCAGGGAAUGGUUCAUGCCCUAGGGGAGGAGCGGAAUGGGGACUAGGACCAGGGUUUCCUGAAACCACUGACUCAGAGAGUGGAUUAGAGCCUGGGAGGGCCCAGGAGAGAUGGCAGUCUGCUUCAGCAUUCUCAUCAGUACACAUUUUUUUUUUUUGAAUCUUGUUAAUAGUCAUCGGCUCCCAAUGCCAGCUUUAAUCUUUCUUCUCAUCCUCUGGAUCAGUGGCUCUGAAACCUUAGCGUGCAUCAGAAUCAGAGAGCUCCUUAAAACACAGCUCUAACCUGGGACCUCCGAGCCCCAGGCUAUUCCACGGCUGUAGAUCUAGGCUCAUGCUGGCUCCUGGACCUGGGUUACCCUUCCUAACUUCCAAUGUCUGGCUGCCUGCUGUUUCUACAUAAGAACUUCCUUUGGCUGGUUUCAAUGAAACUCAGCCCUUGGCCAUGCUAUUUCUGCCCUGUAGGCAAGGUGACUGGCUUCCAGGUGACUGGCUUCCAGCCUAUGUGUUUUCAACCUUCAGAGAGCAGGAUCUGAUCAUCUGCUUGGCAAGAUGAGCAAAAGUCUGUCCUGUGGACAAACUGGUCAGCUGUUCCUCCCUGUCCAGAUGGACAUCUGCUGCUGCUGCUGCCUGGGUGAGAGGCCACAGGGUAUCCAGCCAUCUGGGAGUUUGGAUUCCCAGAUGCCAGCAGAUGGAGACUGGAAAACGCUGGGCUGAUGAAUGGCAUUUUCCACCUGUGGUUAGAAUCCUUGGGGGAUGGCAAGUUAUGUUACUCACCGCUCACCUGGAUACUCCCUGAAGCUUCUGUUACUUUUAUAUAAUUGCCCCUUCUUGUUCUCACCUGUGGUGCUGAGUUCGGCACUGGGAACACUAUACAUGCUCACAGAUCCAGCAGCAUCAUCUCAAGGGCCUCAUCCUCAGCGCUGGCAAUGCAGGCUGAUCUCCCACAGUGGGAGUAGACAGAAAGGGCUCUGACUUGACCCCGCUGUUUCUCUACAUAUGAGUCCUGUCACAAGUGAAUCGGCUGAGCUGCCCUGGCCAAGUGCCAUUUUCACCUGCUCCCGUCCCUCCCAAAGCCCCCAAACGUAUAAUGGUUUCAUG
Long non-coding RNA from Bos taurus (domestic cattle), 1482 nucleotides. NCBI's taxonomy places the organism in Eukaryota, Metazoa, Chordata, Mammalia, Artiodactyla, Bovidae. The record is from Ensembl.